CCCUUAGAUGUCCUGGGCCGCACGCGCGCUACACUGACAUGUUCAACAAGCCUCCUAGUUCGACAGGAUUUGGGAAAUCUUUGAACGCAUGUCGUGAUAGGGAUAGAUCAUUGCAAUUAUUGAUCUUGAACGAGGAAUUCCUAGUAAACGCGAGUCAUCAGCUCGCAUUGAUUACGUCCCUUCCCUUUGUACACACCGCCCGUCGCACCUACCGAUUGAAUGUUUCGGUGAAGAUUCCGGAUAGGACUUUUUUGAUUUAUUUCAAUUUUGUCUUAAAAGCUAUCUAAACCUCAACAUUUAGAGGAAGGUGAAGUCGUAACA
RNAcentral lists this ribosomal RNA (321 nucleotides) under uncultured eukaryote. RNAcentral's name for it is "partial 18S ribosomal RNA". It matches the Rfam family "Eukaryotic small subunit ribosomal RNA", at positions 1470 to 1796 of the family's 1831-position model. The record is from RNAcentral.